CACAGGCGCUGCAGCCAACAAUUUCGCGCACUGUAGACGUAGUAGCCAAUCAGAAGGCGCAGCUGUAGGGGCCGGGGUGGGAUCAACCCGUGACUCGCGGUGACUCCCUAGCAGGGAGCGGGGAGAGCGUCUCCAUCUGUUGAUCCCCCUAGCCUGCCCAAGCCAGACUUCAAGGCUUCGAAGGAAAAGCUGCAGAAGUUGGAUGAGGAGGGACAGCUCUGUCACCUGGGAAGAGUUUGCCAAAAUGAAGCAGGAGCUAGAAGGCUCAAAGGCCCACCAGGCAUAUCCUCGACAUGACAUUAAGAUCAGAUCCCGGGGACACAAAGAGAGGUAUCCCUGCAGCUCUACAGCCCUUCUUCCUGUGGCAGCAGGAUCUCCAUGGGAAGGUACAAGACCCAGAACUUGGAACCUAAGAAGUCAAGGCUAACCCCUCCUCCACAGGCCCUAGCAAGGACCACAGGUUAAAUUUUCUACAUCUAUUUCCUGACCAGGAAAAUGAAACUACCCUGUCUUGGCUCUCCCCAGUGCUUAAGGAGAUAAGAAACCAGAUGUAACUUCAGAUGGCCCUUUGCCAUACGGGACAAGGUUUAAGCCCCACAUUUCCAGCCCAUUUCACCCCACUGGGAUGCUAGACUUCUUGGUUGCUUGUGCCUGCUGGGUAAAGCCCAAAGUACAGGCUAGAGACAGCCCACAGCAACUGUGACAAACGCUCAGGACCCUGG
This 722-nucleotide long non-coding RNA is filed under the name Heterocephalus glaber (naked mole-rat). Its description in RNAcentral is "lncRNA (ENSHGLG00000040869.1)". Lineage: Eukaryota; Metazoa; Chordata; Mammalia; Rodentia; Bathyergidae. The record is from RNAcentral.